AUGAGCAGAGGGCCGGCGCGCACGCAGAGAGUGGAGCUGAAGGCGGACACCGGAGAGCAAGUUUUGGUGGCGCGCGCGCAACGGAUGGAGCGCGUUUGCGCCGCUGUUCAAUCGGAUUCCGGCCGACUCGACUGGAGUGAAACGCGCUUCCGAAAUCCGAAUUCGAUCGGGAGUGGUGCUCUGCUCGCGUCCGACUGGAGCACGGUCACCGCCUCGCCGGGAGAUAUAAGCUCCACGGGGGGCCUCGUGGGAGGCGAUCGCCUUCUUUCUUCCUUCCCAAUUUCUCCAUCCAAACGUCCCCACUUCUCCAUCCACUCCAAAACCGAUCACAGGAGCUCGCGGCCGCCACCCAUGGCCGGGCAGAUGCUCCGCCGGUGGAACAGCUUCUACGGCGCCUUCGACCCCGUGGACGCCGCCAUCGAGGCCGCCGACCCGGUCCAAUUCUCACGCCACGUGUUCCGGCGCGCGAGGGUCGACCUGGUGGGACGGCUCUGCAGCGCCGCCGACGACGACCAGGCGGAGCGCAUCUGCGGGAUUCUCGACGACAUCAUGGCCGAGUCUUUGGAGACGCUGAGGCUGGUCCCAUCAACGCCGGGGGCGCCCAUCUCCACGGAGCUCGCCGACUCUGUGCGCGCGCUGCGGGAGCACGACUCGGAGCGCGUCCGCCUCCUCGCGCGCGGCAUCGUGAGCGGGUGGGAGGCCUCCGUCCAGGACGACGGCGACGGUGCCAAGGUCGUCACACCAGCCAUGCCGAUGAAGAAGCUGCCGCAGCCCAAGGCGAGCGUCGGCCAGCAGCAGCAGCAGCAGCAGCGUGUCUCCGCCGACCCUGACGCGAAGACGAAGCGGCCUCCCAAGAUCGUCGGCGAGCCCUUGUCCAAGAAGACGGCUGAAAUCAUAAAAAAGGCGUCCGAUCCUGUCGACGGUGACCGUGCCGGGUUCUGCUCGGAGGACAAGAUGGAAGCCGCGAAGCGCAAGCUCCGCCAAGGUUACCAGGAGGCAGAGGACGCCAAACGGCGGCGCAGGACGCAGCUGGUGCAGGCGGCGCCCAAGAUGAUGCAGCCAAUCAGGAGGUGCAGCAGCUCCAUGGUGAAGAAAACCUUGUCGAUCAGGACGCAGCUUCACAUGGCUUAA
RNAcentral lists this ribosomal RNA (1131 nucleotides) under Triticum aestivum (bread wheat). RNAcentral's name for it is "partial small subunit ribosomal RNA". The record is from RNAcentral. Lineage: Eukaryota; Viridiplantae; Streptophyta; Magnoliopsida; Poales; Poaceae.